RNA transcript from Rattus rattus (black rat), 981 nucleotides. It is a transcript of the gene named olfactory receptor 10A3-like, with no coding region annotated. The transcript has a single exon. NCBI's taxonomy places the organism in Eukaryota, Metazoa, Chordata, Mammalia, Rodentia, Muridae. The record is from RefSeq and is a predicted model, not a curated record.
AUGUCCCUAAGGCCAACAUAGGGCUCCACUAUUGAAAUGAGGAGGCAAAAUCACAGCUCUACAGUUGACUUCAUCCUCUUGGGAUUUUCUAACUAUCCUGAACUUCAAGGGCAGAUGUUUGGGGCUUUCCUAGUUAUUUAUCUGGUGACUGUGUUUGGAAAUGCCAUCAUUAUCACGAUCAUCUUCCUGGACCAGAGCCUGCACAUCCCCAUGUACCUGUUCCUGCAGAACUUAUCCUUAGUGGACCUCUGUUUCAGCACAGUCAUCACACCUAAAAUACUUGUGGUCCUGACCACUGAGAAAGCAACCAUUUCCUUUGGGGGCUGUUUUGCACAGAUGUACUUCAUUCUUCUCUUUGGUAUGACUGAGUGUUUUCUCCUGGGAUCAAUGGCUUAUGACCGAUUUGCUGCAAUCUGCCAUCCUCUAUCCUACCCAGUGAUUAUGAACAAAAGGGUCUUUGUAAAAUUAGCCAUGUUCUCAUGGGUCUCAGGUACCAUGAUGACUACUCUGCAGACCACAUGGGUGUUUAGCUUCCCCUACUGUGGCCACAAGGAAAUUAACCAUCUCUUCUGUGAGACUCCUCCUGUGCUGGAACUCGCAUGUGCAGACACUUUCCUGUUUGAAGUCUAUGCUUUCACGGGUACCAUUUUGAUUGUCAUGGUCCCCUUUCUGUUGAUACUCUUGUCUUAUACUCGAAUUCUCUUUGCCAUCCUGAGGAUGCCAUCCACUACAGGGAGGCAGAAGGCCUUUUCCACAUGUGCCUCUCAUCUCACCUCUGUCACCCUUUUCUAUGGCACAGCCAGUAUAACUUAUCUCCAGCCCAAAUCCAGGUACUCAGCAGACACCAAGAAACUGAUGUCAUUGGCUUACACACUGCUCACUCCUCUGCUGAAUCCACUCAUCUACAGCCUGAGAAACAAGGAGAUGAAAAGGGCUGUGUUGAAAUUAUGGCAAAGAAAAGUGGCUUUACACACAGGUUAA